This 74-nucleotide transfer RNA is filed under the name Alphaproteobacteria bacterium. RNAcentral describes it as "tRNA-Cys". It matches the Rfam family "tRNA". Rfam says of the family: Transfer RNA (tRNA) molecules are approximately 80 nucleotides in length. Their secondary structure includes four short double-helical elements and three loops (D, anti-codon, and T loops). Further hydrogen bonds mediate the characteristic L-shaped molecular structure. tRNAs have two regions of fundamental functional importance: the anti-codon, which is responsible for specific mRNA codon recognition, and the 3' end, to which the tRNAs corresponding amino acid is attached (by aminoacyl-tRNA synthetases). tRNAs cope with the degeneracy of the genetic code in two manners: having more than one tRNA (with a specific anti-codon) for a particular amino acid; and 'wobble' base-pairing, i.e. permitting non-standard base-pairing at the 3rd anti-codon position. The record is from RNAcentral. Lineage: Bacteria; Pseudomonadati; Pseudomonadota; Alphaproteobacteria.
GGCCGGAUAGCAAAGUGGUAAUGCCGGGGACUGCAAAUCCUCUACCGGCGGUUCGAGUCCGCCUCUGGCCUCCA